GACGAACGCUGGCGGCGUGCCUAAUACAUGCAAGUUGAGCGCUGAAGGUUGGUACUUGUCCCGACUGGAUGAGCAGCGAACGGGUGAGUAACGCGUGGGGAAUCUGCCUUUGAGCGGGGGACAACAUUUGGAAACGAAUGCUAAUACCGCAUAAAAACUUUAAACACAAGUUUUAAGUUUGAAAGAUGCAAUUGCAUCACUCAAAGAUGAUCCCGCGUUGUAUUAGCUAGUUGGUGAGGUAAAGGCUCACCAAGGCGAUGAUACAUAGCCGACCUGAGAGGGUGAUCGGCCACAUUGGGACUGAGACACGGCCCAAACUCCUACGGGAGGCAGCAGUAGGGAAUCUUCGGCAAUGGACGAAAGUCUGACCGAGCAACGCCGAGUGAGUGAAGAAGGUUUUCGGAUCGUAAAACUCUGUUGGUAGAGAAGAACGUUGGUGAGAGUGGAAAGCUCAUCAAGUGACGGUAACUACCCAGAAAGGGACGGCUAACUACGUG
Molecule: ribosomal RNA, 497 nt
Filed under: uncultured bacterium
Lineage: Bacteria
Description: partial 16S ribosomal RNA
Rfam family: Bacterial small subunit ribosomal RNA
Source: RNAcentral